This 556-nucleotide ribosomal RNA is filed under the name uncultured bacterium. RNAcentral's name for it is "partial 16S ribosomal RNA". It matches the Rfam family "Bacterial small subunit ribosomal RNA", at positions 355 to 926 of the family's 1533-position model. The record is from RNAcentral.
UGGGGAAUAUUGCACAAUGGGCGAAAGCCUGAUGCAGCAACGCCGCGUGAGUGAUGAAGGCCUUCGGGUUGUAAAGCUCUGUCUUUUGGGACGAUAAUGACGGUACCAAAGGAGGAAGCCACGGCUAACUACGUGCCAGCAGCCGCGGUAAUACGUAGGUGGCAAGCGUUGUCCGGAUUUACUGGGCGUAAAGGAUGCGUAGGCGGAUUUUUAAGUGAGAUGUGAAAACCCUAAGCUUAACUUGGGGACUGCAUUUCAUACUGGAAAUCUAGAGUGCGGGAGAGGAGAAUGGAAUUCCUAGUGUAGCGGUGAAAUGCGUAGAGAUUAGGAAGAACACCAGUGGCGAAGGCGAUUCUCUGGACCGUAACUGACGCUGAGGCAUGAAAGCGUGGGUAGCAAACAGGAUUAGAUACCCCUGGUAGUCCACGCCGUAAACGAUGAGUACUAGGUGUAGGAGGUAUCGACCCCUUCUGUGUCGCAGUUAACACAAUAAGUACUCCGCCUGGGAAGUACGAUCGCAAGAUUAAAACUCAAAUGAAUUGACGGGGUCAUAGCU